This 497-nucleotide ribosomal RNA is filed under the name uncultured bacterium. Its description in RNAcentral is "partial 16S ribosomal RNA". It matches the Rfam family "Bacterial small subunit ribosomal RNA", at positions 28 to 507 of the family's 1533-position model. The record is from RNAcentral.
GAUGAACGCUGGCGGCGUGCCUAAUACAUGCAAGUCGAGCGAACAGACGAGGAGCUUGCUCCUCUGACGUUAGCGGCGGACGGGUGAGUAACACGUGGAUAACCUACCUAUAAGACUGGGAUAACUUCGGGAAACCGGAGCUAAUACCGGAUAAUAUAUUGAACCGCAUGGUUCAAUAGUGAAAGACGGUUUUGCUGUCACUUAUAGAUGGAUCCGCGCCGCAUUAGCUAGUUGGUAAGGUAACGGCUUACCAAGGCAACGAUGCGUAGCCGACCUGAGAGGGUGAUCGGCCCAACUGGAACUGGGGCACGGUCCAGACUCCUACGGGAGGCAGCAGUAGGGAAUCUUCCGCAAUGGGCGGAAGCCUGACGGAGCAACGCCGCGGGAGUGAAGAAGGUCUUUCGAUUGUAAAACUCUGUUAUUAGGGAAGAACAAAUUGGGAAGGUACUUAGCCCGGCUUGACGGUACCUAAUCAGAAAGGCACGGCUAACUACGUU